RNA transcript from Columba livia (rock pigeon), 36728 nucleotides. It is a transcript of the gene named collagen alpha-2(I) chain-like, with no coding region annotated. The record is from RefSeq and is a predicted model, not a curated record. NCBI's taxonomy places the organism in Eukaryota, Metazoa, Chordata, Aves, Columbiformes, Columbidae. The transcript is spliced from 9 exons.
GUCAGAAAGGGGCGGAGGCGGACAUACGAACCGCCGGGAGACAAAGAGGCCCCGGCUCUCCCGGGGCAGCCCCGCUGCGAAAAGAACGGGCGAGGCGGCAACAGGAGGCGGCGGCGUCUCCUCGGCCCCGAGCACAGGGGAGAGAAACCUGCCGGACGGAGCUCCUUCGGGCUCUGUCUGUUCACAAUGAAUUUAUGGUGGAUCCGUCCGGCAGUCGGUGGCCCACGGUUGCUCGGCAACAGCAGAAGCGGAUUGAAGGGACCGGCCGCUGGAGGAUGCCGAAGCCUCCCGGGUCAGCGAUGGGAGCAGCUUUGCGUGAAGCGAGGGGUACGUGAAGCCGGGCAUGCGGUGCCGACCGCCCAGCAGGUAAGGGAAGCUAAAGCUUUACCUCCAGGGACUUCUGCCCAGAAAGCUGAAGCAAUUGCUCUCGCGUGAGCUGUAGAGUUACGCAAAGAGAAGAAGAUUAGUAGCUGCACUGCAGGUUUCUUGAAGGGUGCGGGCCCUUGAAGCCGUUUGAAAAGAAUAAAGUGUAUUAACGGCACAAGGGAGGCAGAUUAAACGUGAUGCUCCGGUUGCUGGAAGCUGUGCUGUUGCUAGGAGAGUUGCCGUCACGCGUUGCGACGGGCCUCAGAAGGGAAACGCUGCUCAGGAAACUGGCCAUAAAUUGGCAGGCUCCGCUGUCAAACCAGCCACCGAGAGGACCGAGACCGGUACGGAAGCCGCGUCUCUGAGCCCAGGUGGCCGUGUCCUCCAGCCAACGUCAGGGAACUGUAACAAAGAGGAUAAGCAAUUAAUAGGAGAUUAAUAGCCCGAUCAGAAUUAGGGUCCAAAGGAGCUGUCACCGGCGACGGGAGAGCAGCGGCGCCUCGCGGCGCGAGGAGCUGAUGCGCUCUGUCGAGAUCGGACGAACAGGUAAGAGCGAAUUUAGAAGCCCUGUGCGAGCGAGGCAAUGGGAAACGUGCCUAGAAAACCGUCUUGAUAGUGCACACGGGGUACAGACAAGAGCAGCCGGACGAGGGAAACGUACCAGGACGACGCUGGCAAAGGGAGUUCUCCGAGCUGCCUGGAAAAGGGGGGUGUCGAUACCGGCCGGCACGAACGGCUCCCUUCUCGGGUCGGCCGGAAGCGUUGCCGUGCCGGGGGGCGGCUGCCGGCCUGCGGGCCGGGGCUGCGGCUGUUUGGGGCGCUGCCCCCGCUUUGUUUUCCUCGGGGAGCCCCCCCACGUUCGGGGGCUUGUGGGACGUGCACGUGCGAAUGACACGGUGUUCCCAGCUGCUCUGUUCUCUGCCUUGUUUUUUCAGGUGCCUGUCCCUGUUUUCUCUUCCCGCUUUUGAAGAGAAGCUGCCGAGUUAGCGUACGCUGCGGUGAAGUUCUACAAGAUGCGGCCCUCAGGAACCGGUUGCUGUGGGGUUGCUCGUGCGGCCAGCUUUUGGUGUCGGUUGUUCCGGCGCUCCGUCGCGGUGUAGAGCCGGCCCCGUACGUAGCGGUGAGGCGUACCGCAGUUCGGUUUGAUUCUCGGAUAGGCCUCGGCUCUGACUGUGCACUCGAACGCCAAAACCUACAGCGGAAGCUGCGGUGGCUUUAGCGUGCAAGGGGCGCGAGCGCCGUGAAGCCGCCCGUGUGGCCGAGCGUCCCGAUCGCGGCGCUGAGCGUUAGGCGGACUUGAGCCGCGUGCCGGAAUUGUUUUGUUUUGGAGAGGGCGGGAUAAACUUGGAGCACAACUUGUGAGGGCGGUACGUCGUGGGCAGGUUUUAGUAUUGCCUGUGGAGUGCCGCUAGAAGCGUUCGUAGUUCUUGCUUGUCUCUGUUACAAGAUGAGCCGUGUCGUCCUGCGUGACGCGUAACGGGAGGACGGCGCGGUAGCGGUGCUCUGCACAAGAGCCCGUUGGGGGGUAUUUUAGCUCGCGGGAAAGGGAUUGGGGAACCACCUGGUGGGAAUGCGAGGAGAGCAGCCCUGGCGGAAUCUGAGGAGCCGAGGCCGUUGUAUAAAUUGGACAAGGAAGGAAAGGCUGCGGGCAAAGCGCGGUACUGCACCCGGCCGCCCCAACGCGGUGCCGCGGCGCGCCUCGGUGCUGCCGCCCUGUGGCGAAACCCGGGUACUGCAGCGCACGGCAAGGGGGGGGGGCAGAUGCCGCGAUUGAGAGACGGGGACGCAACUUGAUGCAAGCAAAGUGUCCACUUUAUUGCUCUUCACACAAUUCUUUUAUACUGUUACAUGCAUAACAACUACUAUCGUGGAUUAUGCUGAUUGGCACAACAAUUAAUUAUCUCAUACAUAUUACAAAGGCUGAGCUCAUGAUAGGUUAGUAAGAGCAUGCAAAUCUGUCCUAGCUCCUUGUUACUAUCGUGUCCUGUGUGCUGGGCAAGCUUUACAGGCUGCUUUCUCACAGCCACAAGGUCCUGUUGCUAAACAGGACAUUCCCAUCUAUCAUCACAAGUUUCUGCUCUUUGUGCUUACAUCUGCAUGUUGUAACUUUUCACGGCCCUUAGUAAUUUUCCAUGCUAACACAACAGGUCUAGUAGCUAGAACUAGCAUAUUAACUAUAGAUAUAUAUUUUUGCUAAUAUCCUAUAAGCCUAGAUAACCCACAGGCAGAGACGCCGAUCGAGCCGCGGGGGUUCGCGGUCGGGUCUGUGCGUGCCGGUGUCCGUCCCCCCCGACGGGGGUCAGGUCCCCAUUGGUGUGCAAACGACACCCCUCCCUCGAUGGCUCCUUAGGAGGGUUAAUCCCAGUCCUCGUUCUUUUGGCAGCGGCGGGUCUGUGACCUCGCGGGAAGCCCAGGCUGCUGCACAGAGCUCGUCGGGAGCGGGAGCCGCGGAGGCGGGGGGCCUCGACGAGCCAGAGCUGCGUCAGACGGAGGGGGGCGCGCGCGCUGCCCGGGGGCCGCGUCCGGCGGAGCCGAAGUGACCUGCGGCGGCAACGAGCGGGAGCCGCUCGGAGCUGGAGCGGCCGUUGGCCGCGCCUUCCCUGGGGAGGUGAGCGCGGGGAGCCCGGCCUCUCUCUCCCUCGGGGAUUAAACCCGCGCCCGUCCGCGCCCUUCCCGGGGGCGGCGGCGAGGCGGGUUCCCCCGGCUCUCCCGGGGCGGCCCCGCUGCCGGGGGGCGCGGGCGAGGCGGCGGCAGCGCCUCCUCGGUGCCGGGGGGCGGAGGGGAGAGAGACCUGCCGGCCGGAGCCGCGGGGCGCGCGGCCCCUCGGGCAGGGCGCUCCCGGUCUCUGGGCCGCAGGCCGGGGGCGGCAGACGGGUUCGGGUGCUCUGGCGUGCUUUUUAGCCAGCGUGGCCUUCUCCGCGCCGUGAAGAAAAUCCCGCGCGGUCGAUUCCGCUCGCCGCUCGGGAGAUGCCGCGUCUCUGGGGCCGUGGACUGGGGAAGAACGUUUGCGAGUUGGAGGGCGCUACAAGAUAUUCCGCGGGGAAGCCGGAGAAGAGGCAAAUUGGCUGCCAGCGGAGUUGCGUUCCUUCGGUUUAGGACGUUCAGCUUGUCCUUCCAGAGAAGGAGCAGUCGUGGGUAGGGCCGAGAGAGGCUUUUAGGCGCGUGAUCGGAAUUGGAGCCAAAUGGCACUCGACGUUGCCGCCGUGGGUCUUGGCUUUCAGUGGUUUCCCCGCGGCUGCCUGGUGUUUGGGAGCUCGGAGCGGGCGUUUUUUUUUUCCCCCAAGGAGAGGCUGUGCUUGAAACAGAACUUGCUUGAAGAAGACGGACGAGGCGGGUGAGGAUGCAGAGCGGGCCAAUCAGAUCGCUCGGGAGGGCUGGAGGGGCGGAGCGCCGAUAGGCGGGGAGCAUGGCAAUUGAUGUGCGUAGGCAGCCAAUGAGGUUGCCGGGGGGGCGGGCGUUGCGGUGUCCGUACUGCGCAUGCCCAACUUGCGCAGUCCUCAGUCAGGUCCGACGCUGAGGCGGGCACCUGGGGGCGGAGCGCGGGAAGGAGCAUCCAAUAGGAGGACGGCGCGGCGGGGUGGAAAGCAGCCAAUCAGAGCGCGCCGUCUCAAUCCCGUUUGAACAGCUGCCUCCCUGGCAAACGCGUCCGUGGGGUCCCGGGGCGGGUAGCGGGAGUUAACGGGGAAACGGGGGUCGGGGCGAGGGAGGGGAGGCUGUGGAGCGCUCAUUUUGGCCUCUCCGUCCCUUUUGCCUCUCUCUCCCUCUCUCUGUGUCUCCUUGUCUUGCUCCCUGUCCCUGUCUUUCUCUGGUAAGCUGACCUGCUCUUUGCCCUUCUUUUUUUGUGGAAUCACAGGCUCCUUCUGCUUGGAAAAGACACGUGCAGUUUUAAAUUUGGGUUUGAACUCUAGGGUUUUUUUUCCCCCAUUAGCGUAAGUGGACGGCACGUUGUCCUGUGGCUCAAUCCCCGUUCUGUUCCGUGGAGCCUUCAGUUUAGGAUGUUCAGGUAAGACAGUUUGUCCUUCCAGAACAGGAGCAGUCACCGGUAGGACCGAGAGAGGCUUUUAAGCGCGUGAUCGGAACUGAAGCCAAAUGGCACUCGACGUUGCCGCUGUGGGUCUUGGCUUUCACUGGUUUCCCCGCGGCUCCCUGGUGUUGGGGAGCUCGGAGCGGGCACGUUUUUUUCCCCGAGGGGAGGCUGUGCUUAAAAAAGAACGUGUUUCCUCAGAGAAGUGCAAGUCCGCGUGCGUAAGACAGACAAAAACCCCAGCCAGCCUAGUCAAGUUCUGAGCGUGCGUCUGUCAGGCGGCUGCUUUACGUUGAGGAGCGCACGGCCGUGCAAUGGUAAGGGCGAAGGGCAAGGCAAGACAGAAGGGUUUUUCCUGCUGCGGGUGACCAGCCGCCCCCCUUUUCCGCGUGAAGCAGAGGAGCGCGGUUCGUUGUCGCCUUUUAAACGCGGCGGCGGCGGCGGCAAGCCGAGCGGCCGGAGGGCGCGGGGUCGGGGGGGGGGGGUCCCGGCAGGGCGGCGAGCCGGCGGGUGAGGAUGCAGAGCGGGCCAAUCAGAUGGCGCGGGAGGGCUGGAGGGCUGGAGGAGCGGAGCGCUGGUUGGCUGCCUAGGCACGUCAGUUGCCUUUCUGUCUGCCAAUCAGAUUGCCGGGGGGGCGGGCGUCGAGGGCUGGGUACUGCGCAUGCCCCAAAGAGCGAGCGCUGAUAGGCGGAGAGAUGCUGAUUGGCGUGCCGCCCGCAGCCAAUGAUGUUGCCGAAGGGGCGGGCGUUGCGGCGUCCCUAGUGCGCAUGCCCCAGCCGCGAUCGCUGAUAGGCGGCGAGAGAGGUGAUUGACGUGUCCCGGGGAGCCAACCGGGAUGCGGCAAGGGGCGGGUGCUGCGGUCUCCCUAGUGCGCAUGCCCAAACCGCGAGCGCUGAUAGGCGGCGAGAGAGGUGAUUGACGUGUCCCGGGGAGCCAACCGGGAUGCGGCAAGGGGCGGGCGCUGCGGUCUCCCUAGUGCGCAUGCCCAAACCGCGAGCGCUGAUAGGCGGCGAGAGAGGUGAUUGACGUGUCCCAAGGAGCCAACCGGGAAGCGGCAAGGGGCGGGAGCUGCGGUCUCCCUACUGCGCAUGCCCCAGCCGCGAUCGCUGAUAGGCGGCGAGAGGGCUGAUUGACGUGUCCCGGGGAGCCAACCGGGAUGCGGCAAGGGGCGGGAGCUGCGGUCUCCCUACUGCGCAUGCCCCAGCCGCGAUCGCUGAUAGGCGGCGAGAGGGCUGAUUGACGUGUCCCGGGGAGCCAACCGGGAUGCGGCAAGGGGCGGGUGCUGCGGUCUCCCUACUGCGCAUGCCCAAACCGCUAGCGCUGAUAGGUCCGCGGUGUCUCGGUGCCGCGCCGUGGGGGGAGACCGGGAGCGAACGGGAACGGGGGUCGGGGCGGCUGCGGAGCGCUCGCUGCGGCCGGCGCCCGGGUAUCGGGAGGCGGGCGGCUCAGGGCCGCCCUUCGUGAGGUUUCCCGGAGGCGGCAGAAGGGCGGAGGGGAAGGAGGGGACAGCCGGGGACCUCCCGCCGCGCGCGUGUCCGGGGCGCGGCGGCUGUCGGUGCCCGCGGAGCCCGGCGGGACGGCGGGGGAGCGCGAGGGGAACGGAGCGGCGAAAGAGGCGGCAGGUGAGUGCGGCAGCGGCGAGGGUGACCGUGCCGUUGGAACGGGGGGAGCGGGAGGGGGCGGCGCGGCGCGGCGCGGAGGCGUUCGGUUCCGGUUUCCCCCGCCCCCCCCCGCCCUUACGGCCGCGCUGGCGAAGCUGCUGGGAGGCGUGCGGUCCGGAGCCGCGUCUCCCUCCGGCGCAGCGCCCGUGCCCGGUGCGGCAGCCCCUCCGGGAGCGGCGCAGCCCCCGUCGGUCGCGGGGACGGUUACAAGCAGAGCUAAGGCGCGGUUGCGGGCGGGCUGGGUGGCGUGGCGAGCGGGGCGCCGCUCCGGCGGGAGCUCGGGGCGAGCCCCGGCGGGUUCCGUGUCCUGCGGGCGCGGCUUUCGCGCCGCGGCUCUCUCUGUGCGCUUUUUUGUUUGGUCGCGUUUGUUUUUUGGGGUUUUUUUGGCGGGAUUCCCGCGAAACGCGGCACGAGCGCUCGCCCGGGGCUGCCGCGGCGGGUCUCAGUGGCGCCGUCCUGUGGGCAAAGCGCGGUACUGCACCCGGCCGCCCCAACGCGGUGCCGCGGCGCGCCUCGGUGCUGCCGCCCUGUGGCGAAACUCGGGUACUGCAGCGCACGGCAAGGGGGGGGGCAGAGACGCCGAUCGAGCCGCGGGGGUUCGCGGUCGGGUCUGUGCGUGCCGGUGUCCGUCCCCCCCCGACGGGGGUCAGGUCCCCAUUGGUGUGCAAACGACAUCCCUCCCUCGGGGCCUCCUUAAACGUUUAAUGACGUAAAUAUUGCUCCUGCUAACGUUGUCGGCGCGGCUUCUUUUCUCAGUGGAUCCGUCCAGCAGUCGGUGGCCCGCGGUUGCUCGGCAACAGCAGAAGCGGAUUGAAGGGACCGGCCGCUGGAGGAUGCCGAAGCCUCCCGGGUCAGCGAUGGGAGCAGCUUUGCGUAAAGCGAGGGGUACGUGAAGCCGGGCGUGCGGUGCCGACCGCCCAGCAGGUAAGGGAAGCUAAAGCUUUACCUCCAGGGACUUCUGCCCAGAAAGCUGAAGCAAUUGCUCUCGCGUGAGCUGUAGAGUUACGCAAAGAGAAGAAGAUUAGUAGCUGCACUGCAGGUUUCUUGAAGGGUGCGGGCCCUUGAAGCCGUUUGAAAAGAAUAAAGUGUAUUAACGGCACAAGGGAGGCAGAUUAAACGUGAUGCUCCGGUUGCUGGAAGCUGUGCUGUUGCUAGGAGAGUUGCCGUCACGCGUUGCAACGGGCCUCAGAAGGGAAACGCUGCUCAGGAAACUGGCCAUAAAUUGGCAGGCGCCGCUGUCAAACCAGCCGCCGAGAGGACCGAGACCGGUACGGAAGCCGCGUCUCUGAGCCCAGGUGGCCGUGUCCUCCAGCCAACGUCAGGGAACUGUAACAAAGAGGAUAAGCAAUUAAUAGGAGAUUAAUAGCCCGAUCAGAAUUAGGGUCCAAAGGAGCCGUCACCGGCGACGGGAGAGCAGCGGCGCCUCGCGGCGCGAGGAGCUGAUGCGCUCUGUCGAGAUCGGACGAACAGGUAAGAGCGAAUUUAGAAGCUCUGUGCGAGCGAGGCAAUGGGAAACGUGCCUAGAAAACCGUCUUGAUAGUGCACACGGGGUACAGACAAGAGCAGCCGGACGAGGGAAACGUACCAGGACGACGCUGGCAAAGGGAGUUCUCCGAGCUGCCUGGAAAAGGGGGGUGUCGAUACCGGCCGGCACGAACGGCUCCCUUCUCGGGUCGGCCGGAAGCGUUGCCGUGCCGGGGGGCGGCUGCCGGCCUGCGGGCCGGGGCUGCGGCUGUUUGGGGCGCCGCCCCCGCUUUGUUUUCCUCGGGGAGCCCCCCCACGCUCGGGGGCUUGUGGGACGUGCACGUGCGAAUGACACGGUGUUCCCAGCUGCUCUGUUCUCUGCCUUGUUUUUUCAGGUGCCUGUCCCUGUUUUCUCUUCCCGCUUUUGAAGAGAAGCUGCCGAGUCAGCGUACGCUGCGGUGAAGUUCUACAAGAUGCAGCCCUCAGGAACCGGUUGACGUGAGGGAAAUGCUUUCUGACCGCCUGCGCGGUGAGGGGACGUUUUUCACCUUUUAGCUCCUUCUGCACGACAAGAGGGAGACGGAAGGUUAAGUAACACGUUGUUUAGGAGCUGAGAGCUUGGUUUGCAUUUAACUAAUAAUUAAGAGACGUGUUGUCAGCGAGAAACUAAACGAUUACAACUAACCUCAUCAAAUGAAGUAAAGACAGGCCAGCCAGGCGUGGUGGUGGAGUUGCUCUCUAUGUGAGAGAGCAGCUACAGUGUACUAAAUUCUGCCCAGGAGCGGAUGAGGAGCGAGUUGAGAGUGUAUGGGUCAGGAUCAAGGGGCAGGCUGGCAGGGGUGACACUGCUGUGGGCGUCUGUUGCAAGCCACCAGAUCAGGCCGAGGAAGCUGAUGAGGCCUUCUAUGGGCAGCUGAGAGCGGCCUCACGGUCACAGGCCCUGGUUGUUGUGGGGGAUUUUAAGUUCCCUGGUGUUUGCUGGAAGGACCGUUCAGCCAGCCAGCCACAGUCCAGGAGGUUCCUGCCGUGCAUCGGUGAGAACCGCCUCAUGCAGGUGGUGGAGGAGCCGACUGGGAGAGGUGCACUGCUGGAUCUCAUCCUCGCUAGCAAGGAGGGUCUGGUCGAAGCAGGAAAGGUUGAGGGCUGCCUGGGCUGCAGUGACCACGAGAAGGUGGAGUUCAGCAUCUUGGGUGGCAGGAACAGAACAGCAAGUAGAAUUGCAGCCCUGGACUUUAGCAGGGCUAACUUUGGCCUUUUCAAGCAAUUGCUGGGGGAAAUCCCACGGGCAAGACUGCUUGAAGGAAAAGGGGCCCGAGAUAGCUGGGUUGCAUUCAGAGAUUGCUUCUUCCACGCUCAGGAUCAGAGCAUCCCCACACGAAGGGAGUCAAGGAAGGGAGCCAGGAGGCCUGCGUGGUUGAACAGGGACCUGUUGGGUGUGCUCAAGCAGAAGAGGAGAGUUUGCAGGUCAUGGAGGCAGGGGCUGGCCACUUGGGAGGAAUAUAGGGCUGCUGUUAGAGGAUGCAGGAAGGCAGCUAGGAUAGCCAAGGCCCCCUAGAAUUACAGCUGGCGAGAGGGGUCAAGGACAGCAAAAAGAGCUUUUUCAAAUACAUAGCAGAUAAAACUAACACCAGAGGCAAUGUAGGCCCACUGAUGAACGGGGUGGGUGCCCUGGUGGCAGAAGAUACAGAGGAGGCAGAAUUCCUGAAUGCCUUCUUUGUCUCUGUCUACUCUGCCGGAGGCCGUCCUGGGGAGCCCUGUACCCCUGAGACCCCGGAUGAAGCCAGGUCAGUGGAGGAGUUUGCUUUAGUCGAUGAGGACUGGGUUAGGGAGCAAUUAAAUAGUCUGGACAUCCAUAAAUCCACGGGUCCGGAGGGGAUGCACCCGCGGGUGCUGAGGGAGCCGGCUGAAGUCACUGCUGGACCGCUCUCUGUCAUCUUUGCCAAGUCUUGGGAAACGGGGGAGGUGCCCGAGGACUGGAGGAAAGCAAAUGUCACUGCAGUCUUCAAAAAGGGCAAGAAGGAGGACCCGGGUAAUUACAGACCGGUCAGCCUCUCCUCUGUCCCUGGGAAAGUAAUGGAACAGCUUCGUCUGGACAACAGAGCAGUGAGGUGGGUUGCAAACUGGCUUAAGGAGAGAAGCCAGAGAGCGGUAGUCAAUGGUGCGGAGUCCAGCUGGAGGCCAGUAUCCAGUGCAGUGCCUCAGGGGGCAGCGCUGGGGCCAAUGUUGUUCAAUAUAUUCAUUAACGAUUUGGACGAGGGAAUAGAGUGCACUAUCGGCAAGUUUGCUGAUGACACCAAGCUGGGAGGGGUGGCUGACACGCCAGAAGGCUGUGCUGCCAUCCAGCGGGACCUGGACAGGCUGGAGAGUUGGGCGGGGAAUAACCUGAUGAAAUUUGACAAGGACAAGUGUAGAGUCCUGCACCUGGGCAGGAACAACCCCAGGUUCCAGUAUAGGUUGGGAAAUUACAUGUUAGAGAGCAGUGUAGGGGAAAGGGACCUGGGGGUCCUGGUGGACAGCAGGAUGACCAUGAGCCAGCCCUGUGCCCUUGUGGCCAGGAAGGCCAAUGGCAUCCUGGGGUGUAUUAGAAGGGGGGUGGUUAGUAGGUGGAGAGAGGUCCUCCUUCCCCUCUGCUCCGCCCUGGUGAGACCGCAUCUGGAAUAUUGUGUCCAGUUGUGGGCCCCUCAGUUCCAGAAGGACAGGGAACUGCUGGAGAGGGUCCAGCGUAGGGCAACCAAGAUGAUUAAGGGAGUGGAGCAUCUCCCGUGUGAGGAAAGGCUGAGGGAGCUGGGGCUCUUUAGUUUGGAGAAGAGGAGACUAAGGGGGGACCUUAUCAAUGUUUAUAAAUACAUAAAGGGUGAGUGCCAUGAGGAUGGAGCCAGGCUCUUCUCGGUGGCAAACAACGAUAGGACAAGGGGUAAUGGGAUCAAGCUGGAACACAAGAGGUUCCGCUUAAAUUUGAGAAGAAACUUCUUCUCAGUGAGGGUGGCAGAGCCUGGCCCAGGCUGCCCAGGGAGGUUGCGGAGCCUCCUUCUCUGCAGACAUUCAAAACCCGCCUGGACGUGCUCCUGUGCGACCUCACCUGGGCGUUCCUGCUCCAUGGGGGGAUUGGACUGGAUGAUCUUUUGAGGUCCCUUCCCGUCCCAAACAUACUGUGAUACUGUGAAGAAUGCGGCUUAGCAGCGCUGCUGACUCUGCCGUCCCGUUCCCUUCCCCGUUUCAGCCGGCGAGGCGGCCGGAGGACCCGCUCUGUGCGGCCGCGGGGCCCGCGGAGUCGAGGGCUCUGUCGGCGCGCCCCGGGGGUUUCUCUGGAGAGACUCCUCGUCUCGGUCGCGUCGCGGCGGGGACGGACGAGGACCUCUGGCGAGGGGUCUUUCUGCGCUGGGAGCCGGGACCGGGCACGCGCUCGCGGGGCGUCCGUAAGUCGCGGUACGGAAUUUAGGCAGGAUAGCGCGCACGGGCUUGCGAGCGCCUUACAGGCGUGCGGUGGUUGCUCGUGCGGCCAGCUUUUGGUGUCGGUUGUUCCGGCGCUCCGUCGCGGUGUAGAGCCGGCCCCGUACGUAGCGGUGAGGCGUACCGCAGUUCGGUUUGAUUCUCGGAUAGGCCUCGGCUCUGACUGUGCACUCGAACGCCAAAACCUACAGCGGAAGCUGCGGUGGCUUUAGCGUGCAAGGGGCGCGAGCGCCGUGAAGCCGCCCGUGUGGCCGAGCGUCCCGAUCGCGGCGCUGAGCGUUAGACGGACUUGAGCCGCGUGCCGGAAUUGUUUUGUUUUGGAGAGGGCGGGAUAAACCUGGAGCACAACUUGUGAGGGCGGUACGUCGUGGGCAGGUUUUAGUAUUGCCUGUGGAGUGCCGCUAGAAGCGUUCGUAGUUCUUGCUUGUCUCUGUUACAAGAUGAGCCGUGUCGUCCUGCGUGACGCGUAACGGGAGGACGGCGCGGUAGCGGUGCUCUGCACAAGAGCCCGUUGGGGGGUAUUUUAGCUCGCGGGAAAGGGAUUGGGAACCACCUGGUGGGAAUGCGAGGAGAGCAGCCCUGGCGGAAUCUGAGGAGCCGAGGCCGUUGUAUAAAUUGGACAAGGAAGGAAAGGCUGCGGGCAAAGCGCGGUGCUGCACCCGGCCGCCCCAACGCGGAACUCUAAUGUGGAAUUCCUGUGUUUCAGAGGGGGAGCUGUGACCGCCCCGUGCUCAGCAGACCCCCCAGCCCGGGUGGGGGGAGCAGCGCCGGAGCGGGAGACGCGGCUCCGUCCUCCGUCCCCAGCGUGCCGGGGGGCGGCUGCCGGCCUGUGGGACGUGGCUGCGGCUGUUCGGGGCGCUGCCCCCCCAUUUUUGGGCGCUCUGAGCAGCCCGAUGUGCUGUUAAAGGUUGUGGUGGUGCGGGUCAGGGAUCCCCAGGCUGUGCCGAGACCGCAGGACGGCUGCUGGUGGAACAAAGUCCGGGACAGCUUCUCAGAGUAAGAACCUCUCUAUUUGUUCUCCUCGGGACACAUCCCUUUGCCUCUGGACCCCGCACAAGCUCACUCGCCACCUUGUUCCCUCAGAAACCCGUUUCCUCCCAGUUCCUCUGCGAUUACCCUGCCUGCCUUUGGGUCCCUGCAGGCUCGUUGGUGGCAUCACGGUGCCUGUUUGACCUUUUGCCCCGUUAAAUUCCCCUCUUUUCUCUCUUCCCCUCAAAACUUCCCCGGUUGCUCUUGUCACACCCCAGAGGCCUCAUUUUCCCCUCUUGUCUCCUCUCAGGACCCCCCAUCUGUUGGCCCCUGUCGAGGGUUUAGAUUGCGGGGUGACAGUAAAACCCUGGCAGAUGUAUUGUUAACCCCGUCUCCCCCCCACUUCCCCCUUUUGCCCCUCCCUCUCCCCGCUUCCCACUCAGGACAGGCGAUCCGGAGGGAAAGAAGGACAGAGAGAAGAGAGUUGGAAAAACUGGCAAUGUUUUACUAAUGCUAUAUUAAGAGUAGAGAAAAUAAUACAAAACCAAUCCUGAAAGUCUCAGCAACUGCAGAGCCGGCACCUGAAGUCCUGGACUGGACUCUGCAGCCAACCGGAGCUGGAUUCAGUCUCUCAGCAGGCCUCAGUUUGCAGGGACGACUAGCAAGGUCCUCUCCUAAUGUCACCAUAAGCAGAAGGGACGAAAAGGGGCAAAGAGGACAAGAUCCUCAUGAUCUGCCACUUGUAUAUGAAGUAUUCAUGUGAAGGGGAUGUUAUACACGGUUGGUCAGUUUGUUGGUCACCUGUUUCUUGUUGCUCCUCUUGCAAGAUGUGAAUCUGUCCUUAUCAACAAGUAAGCAUUCCAUUGCAAUGUUUAUCAAAACAUGUAUGUGUCUGGUUCUCCAGGAAAAGGCAGCUAAUAUGAAGCUUUAGCUGACAGGCAAAUUCAUGCUGUCUGCCUAUCAGAUUGCCGGAGGGGCGGGCGUCGAGGGCUGGGUACUGCGUGCCGCCCGCAGCCAAUGAUGGUGCGGAAGAGGCGGGCGUUGCGGUGUCCCUACUGCGCAUGCCCCAGUCGCGAGCGCUGAUAGGCGGAGAGGGAGAUGAUUGACGUGUCCCGGGGAGCGAACCGGGAUGCGGCAAGGGGCGGGUGCUGCAGUCUCCCUAGUGCGCAUGCCCAAACCGCGAGCGCUGAUAGGUCCGCGGUGUCUCGGGGCCGGGGCCGGGGGGGGAGACCGGGAGCGAACGGGAACGGGGGUCGGGGCGGCUGCGGAGCCCUCGCUGCGGCCGGCGCCCGGGCAUCGGGAGGCGGGCGGCUCAGGGCCGCCCUUCGUGAGGUUUCCCGGAGGCGGCAGAAGGGCGGAGGGGAAGGAGGGGACAGCCGGGGACCUCCCGCUGCGCGCGUGUCCGGGGCGCGGCGGCUGUCGGUGCCCGCGGAGCCCGGCGGGACGGCGGGGGAGCGCGAGGGGCACGGAGCGGCGAAAGAGGCGGCAGGUGAGUGCGGCAGCGGCGAGGGUGACCGUGCCGUUGGAACGGGGGGAGCGGGAGGGGCCGGCGCGGCGCGGCGCGGAGGCGUUCGGUUCCGGUUCCCUCCCCCGCCCCCCCCGCCCUUACGGCCGCGCUGGCGAAGCUGCUGGGAGGCGUGCGGUCCGGAGCCGCGUCUCCCUCCGGCGCAGCGCCCGUGCCCGGUGCGGCAGCCCCUCCGGGAGCGGCGCAGCCCCCGUCGGUCGCGGGGACGGUUACAAGCAGAGCUAAGGCGCGGUUGCGGGCGGGCUGGGUGGCGUGGCGAGCGGGGCGCCGCUCCGGCGGGAGCUCGGGGCGAGCCCCGGCGGGUUCCGUGUCCUGCGGGCGCGGCUUUCGCGCCGCGGCUCUCUCUGUGCGCUUUUUUGUUUGGUCGCGUUUGUUUUUUGGUUUUUUUUUGGCGGGAUUCCCGCGAAACGCGGCACGAGCGCUCGCCCGGGGCUGCCGCGGCGGGUCUCAGUGGCGCCGUCCUGUGGGCAAAGCGCGGUACUGCACCCGGCCGCCCCAACGCGGUGCCGCGGCGCGCCUCGGUGCUGCCGCCCUGUGGCGAAACUCGGGUACUGCAGCGCCCGGCAAGGGGGGGGGGCAGAGACGCCGAUCGAGCCGCGGGGGUUCGCGGUCGGGUCUGUGCGUGCCGGUGUCCGCCCCCCCCCGACGGGGGUCAGGUCCCCAUUGGUGUGCAAACGACAUCCCUCCCUCGGGGCCUCCUUAAACGUUUAAUGACGUAAAUAUUGCUCCUGCUAACGUUGUCGGCGCGGCUUCUUUUCUCAGUGGAUCCGUCCGGCAGUCGGUGGCCCACGGUUGCUCGGCAACAGCAGAAGCGGAUUGAAGGGACCGGCCGCUGGAGGAUGCCGAAGCCUCCCGGGUCAGCGGUGGGAGCAGCUUUGCGUAAAGCGAGGGGUACGUGAAGCCGGGCGUGCGGUGCCGACCGCCCAGCAGGUAAGGGAAGCUAAAGCUUUACCUCCAGGGACUUCUGCCCAGAAAGCUGAAGCAAUUGCUCUCGCGUGAGCUGUAGAGUUACGCAAAGAGAAGAAGAUUAGUAGCUGCACUGAUUCUAAGCAGGUUUCUUGAAGGGUGCGGGCCCUUGAAGCCGUUUGAAAAGAAUAAAGUGUAUUAACGGCACAAGGGAGGCAGAUUAAACGUGAUGCUCCGGUUGCUGGAAGCUGUGCUGUUGCUAGGAGAGUUGCCGUCACGCGUUGCAACGGGCCUCAGAAGGGAAACGCUGCUCAGGAAACUGGCCAUAAAUUGGCAGGCGCCGCUGUCAAACCAGCCACCGAGAGGACAGAGACCGGUACGGAAGCCGCGUCUCUGAGCCCAGGUGGCCGUGUCCUCCAGCCAACGUCAGGGAACUGUAACAAAGAGGAUAAGCAAUUAAUAGGAGAUUAAUAGCCCGAUCAGAAUUAGGGUCCAAAGGAGCCGUCACCGGCGACGGGAGAGCAGCGGCGCCUCGCGGCGCAAGGAGCUGACGUGCUCUGUCGAGAUCGGACGAACAGGUAAGAGCGAAUUUAGAAGCCCUGUGCGAGCGAGGCAAUGGGAAACGUGCCUAGAAAACCGUCUUGAUAGUGCACACGGGGUACAGACAAGAGCAGCCGGACGAGGGAAACGUACCAGGACGACGCUGGCAAAGGGAGUUCUCCGAGCUGCCUGGAAAAGGGGGGUGUCGAUACCGGCCGGCACGAACGGCUCCCUUCUCGGGUCGGCCGGAAGCGUUGCCGUGCCGGGGGGCGGCUGCCGGCCUGCGGGCCGGGGCUGCGGCUGUUUGGGGCGCCGCCCCCGCUUUGUUUUCCUCGGGGAGCCCCCCCACGCUCGGGGGCUUGUGGGACGUGCACGUGCGAAUGACACGGUGUUCCCAGCUGCUCUGUUCUCUGCCUUGUUUUUUCAGGUGCCUGUCCCUGUUUUCUCUUCCCGCUUUUGAAGAGAAGCUGCCGAGUCAGCGUACGCUGCGGUGAAGUUCUACAAGAUGCGGCCCUCAGGAACCGGUUGACGUGAGGGAAAUGCUUUCUGACCGCCUGCGCGGUGAGGGGACGUUUUUCACCUUUUAGCUCCUUCUGCACGACAAGAGGGAGACGGAAGGUUAAGUAACACGUUGUUUAGGAGCUGAGAGCUUGGUUUGCAUUUAACUAAUAAUUAAGAGACGUGUUGUCAGCGAGAAACUAAACGAUUACAACUAACCUCAUCAAAUGAAGUAAAGACAGGCCAGCCAGGCGUGGUGGUGGAGUUGCUCUCUAUGUGAGAGAGCAGCUACAGUGUACUAAAUUCUGCCCAGGAGCGGAUGAGGAGCGAGUUGAGAGUGUACGGGUCAGGAUCAAGGGGCAGGCUGGCAGGGGUGACACUGCUGUGGGCGUCUGUUGCAGGCCACCAGAUCAGGCUGAGGAAGCUGAUGAGGCCUUCUAUGGGCAGCUGAGAGCGGCCUCACGGUCACAGGCCCUGGUUGUUGUGGGGGAUUUUAAGUUCCCUGCUGUUUGCUGGAAGGACCGUUCAGCCAGCCAGCCACAGUCCAGGAGGUUCCUGCCGUGCAUCGGUGAGAACCGCCUCAUGCAGGUGGUGGAGGAGCCGACUGGGAGAGGUGCACUGCUGGAUCUCAUCCUCGCUAGCAAGGAGGGUCUGGUCGAAGCAGGAAAGGUUGAGGGCUGCCUGGGCUGCAGUGACCACGAGAAGGUGGAGUUCAGCAUCUUGGGUGGCAGGAACAGAACAGCAAGUAGAAUUGCAGCCCUGGACUUUAGCAGGGCUAACUUUGGCCUUUUCAAGCAAUUGCUGGGGGAAAUCCCACGGGCAAGACUGCUUGAAGGAAAAGGGGCCCGAGAUAGCUGGGUUGCAUUCAGAGAUUGCUUCUUCCACGCUCAGGAUCAGAGCAUCCCCACACGAAGGGAGUCAAGGAAGGGAGCCAGGAGGCCUGCGUGGUUGAACAGGGAUCUGUUGGGUAUGCUCAAGCAGAAGAGGAGAGUUUGCAGGUCAUGGAGGCAGGGGCUGGCCACUUGGGAGGAAUAUAGGGCUGCUGUUAGAGGAUGCAGGAAGGCAGCUAGGAUAGCCAAGGCCCCCUAGAAUUACAGCUGGCGAGAGGGGUCAAGGACAGCAAAAAGAGCUUUUUCAAAUCCAUAGCAGAUAAAACUAACACCAGAGGCAAUGUAGGCCCACUGAUGAACGGGGUGGGUGCCCUGGUGGCAGAAGAUACAGAGGAGGCAGAAUUCCUGAAUGCCUUCUUUGUCUCUGUCUACUCUGCCGGAGGCCGUCCUGGGGAGCCCUGUACCCCUGAGACCCCGGAUGAAGCCCGGUCAGUGGAGGAGUUUGCUUUAGUCGAUGAGGACUGGGUUAGGGAGCAAUUAAAUAGUCUGGACAUCCAUAAAUCCACGGGUCCGGAGGGGAUGCACCCGCGGGUGCUGAGGGAGCCGGCUGAAGUCACUGCUGGACCGCUCUCUGUCAUCUUUGCCAAGUCUUGGGAAACGGGGGAGGUGCCCGAGGACUGGAGGAAAGCAAAUGUCACUGCAGUCUUCAAAAAGGGCAAGAAGGAGGACCCGGGUAAUUACAGACCGGUCAGCCUCUCCUCUGUCCCUGGGAAAGUAAUGGAACAGCUUCGUCUGGACAACAGAGCAGUGAGGUGGGUUGCAAACUGGCUUAAGGAGAGAAGCCAGAGAGCGGUAGCCAAUGGUGCGGAGUCCAGCUGGAGGCCAGUAUCCAGUGCAGUGCCUCAGGGGUCAGCGCUGGGGCCAAUAUUAUUCAAUAUAUUCAUUAACGAUUUGGACGAGGGAAUAGAGUGCACUAUCGGCAAGUUUGCUGAUGACACCAAGCUGGGAGGGGUGGCUGACACGCCAGAAGGCUGUGCUGCCAUCCAGCGGGACCUGGACAGGCUGGAGAGUUGGGCGGGGAAUAACCUGAUGAAAUUUGACAAGGACAAGUGUAGAGUCCUGCACCUGGGCAGGAACAACCCCAGGUUCCAGUAUAGGUUGGGAAAUUACAUGUUAGAGAGCAGUGUAGGGGAAAGGGACCUGGGGGUCCUGGUGGACAGCAGGAUGACCAUGAGCCAGCCCUGUGCCCUUGUGGCCAGGAAGGCCAAUGGCAUCCUGGGGUGUAUUAGAAGGGGGGUGGUUAGUAGGUGGAGAGAGGUCCUCCUUCCCCUCUGCUCCGCCCUGGUGAGACCGCAUCUGGAAUAUUGUGUCCAGUUGUGGGCCCCUCAGUUCCAGAAGGACAGGGAACUGCUGGAGAGGGUCCAGCGUAGGGCAACCAAGAUGAUUAAGGGAGUGGAGCAUCUCCCGUGUGAGGAAAGGCUGAGGGAGCUGGGGCUCUUUAGUUUGGAGAAGAGGAGACUAAGGGGGGACCUUAUCAAUGUUUAUAAAUACAUAAAGGGUGAGUGCCAUGAGGAUGGAGCCAGGCUCUUCUCGGUGGCAAACAACGAUAGGACAAGGGGUAAUGGGAUCAAGCUGGAACACAAGAGGUUCCGCUUAAAUUUGAGAAGAAACUUCUUCUCAGUGAGGGUGGCAGAGCCUGGCCCAGGCUGCCCAGGGAGGUUGCGGAGCCUCCUUCUCUGCAGACAUUCAAAACCCGCCUGGACGUGCUCCUGUGCGACCUCACCUGGGCGUUCCUGCUCCAUGGGGGGAUUGGACUGGAUGAUCUUUUGAGGUCCCUUCCCGUCCCAAACAUACUGUGAUACUGUGAAGAAUGCGGCUUAGCAGCGCUGCUGACUCUGCCGUCCCGUUCCCUUCCCCGUUUCAGCCGGCGAGGCGGCCGGAGGACCCGCUCUGUGCGGCCGCGGGGCCCGCGGAGUCGAGGGCUCUGUCGGCGCGCCCCGGGGGUUUCUCUGGAGAGACUCCUCGUCUCGGUCGCGUCGCGGCGGGGACGGACGAGGACCUCUGGCGAGGGGUCUUUCUGCGCUGGGAGCCGGGACCGGGCACGCGCUCGCGGGGCGUCCGUAAGUCGCGGUACGGAAUUUAGGCAGGAUAGCGCGCACGGGCUUGCGAGCGCCUUACAGGCGUGCGGUGGUUGCUCGUGCGGCCAGCUUUUGGUGUCGGUUGUUCCGGCGCUCCGUCGCGGUGUAGAGCCGGCCCCGUACGUAGCGGUGAGGCGUACCGCAGUUCGGUUUGAUUCUCGGAUAGGCCUCGGCUCUGACUGUGCACUCGAACGCCAAAACCUACAGCGGAAGCUGCGGUGGCUUUAGCGUGCAAGGGGCGCGAGCGCCGUGAAGCCGCCCGUGUGGCCGAGCGUCCCGAUCGCGGCGCUGAGCGUUAGACGGACUUGAGCCGCGUGCCGGAAUUGUUUUGUUUUGGAGAGGGCGGGAUAAACUUGGAGCACAACUUGUGAGGGCGGUACGUCGUGGGCAGGUUUUAGUAUUGCCUGUGGAGUGCCGCUAGAAGCGUUCGUAGUUCUUGCUUGUCUCUGUUACAAGAUGAGCCGUGUCGUCCUGCGUGACGCGUAACGGGAGGACGGCGCGGUAGCGGUGCUCUGCACAAGAGCCCGUUGGGGGGUAUUUUAGCUCGCGGGAAAGGGAUUGGGGAACCACCUGGUGGGAAUGCGAGGAGAGCAGCCCUGGCGGAAUCUGAGGAGCCGAGGCCGUUGUAUAAAUUGGACAAGGAAGGAAAGGCUGCGGGCACAGCGCGGUGCUGUACCCGGCCGCCCCAACGCGGAACUCUAAUGUGGAAUUCCUGUGUUUCAGAGGGGGAGCUGUGACCGCCCCGUGCUCAGCAGACCCCCCAGCCCGGGUGGGGGGAGCAGCGCCGGAGCGGGAGACGCGGCUCCGUCCUCCGUCCCCAGCGUGCCGGGGGGCGGCUGCCGGCCUGUGGGACGUGGCUGCGGCUGUUCGGGGCGCUGCCCCCCCAUUUUUGGGCGCUCUGGUAUGUACAUAGGUAAAUGGCGUUUUAAAGUAAUGUGCUGCCCGCUGGGGCUGUUUUCCUUUUCUACCUUUUUUUUUUUGAGUGAAUAAAUGGGGGGACUCGGGGGGUGACGAUGACGUUGCUGGAGGAGCAGGCCAGUGAGAGAUGGGGGCUUUCAGCCCCAAAACGCCUGAACAGUCAUGGGUGGGGUGUUUAGUGGUGCUGUGGGGAGGAGAAAUUUCUCCCUGUCCGUUGCAGAGAAAACAGAACAAUCCCACAUCAAAGCUGUCCUAGAGAAGUACUUGCUGUUUGUCAUUCCGGUUCUAGAGCAGCCCGAUGUGCUGUUAAAGGUUGUGGUGGUGCGGGUCAGGGAUCCCCAGGCUGUGCCGAGACCGCAGGACGGCUGCUGGUGGAACAAAGUCAAGGACAACUUCUCAGAUGGAUCCGUCCGGCAGUCGGUGGCCCACGGUUGCUCGGCAACAGCAGAAGCGGAUUGAAGGGACCGGCCGCUGGAGGAUGCCGAAGCCUCCCGGGUCAGCGAUGGGAGCAGCUUUGCGUAAAGCGAGGGGUACGUGAAGCCGGGCGUGCGGUGCCGACCGCCCAGCAGGUAAGGGAAGCUAAAGCUUUACCUCCAGGGACUUCUGCCCAGAAAGCUGAAGCAAUUGCUCUCGCGUGAGCUGUAGAGUUACGCAAAGAGAAGAAGAUUAGUAGCUGCACUGAUUCUAAGCAGGUUUCUUGAAGGGUGCGGGCCCUUGAAGCCGUUUGAAAAGAAUAAAGUGUAUUAACGGCACAAGGGAGGCAGAUUAAACGUGAUGCUCCGGUUGCUGGAAGCUGUGCUGUUGCUAGGAGAGUUGCCGUCACGCGUUGCAACGGGCCUCAGAAGGGAAACGCUGCUCAGGAAACUGGCCAUAAAUUGGCAGGCGCCGCUGUCAAACCAGCCGCCGAGAGGACAGAGACCGGUACGGAAGCCGCGUCUCUGAGCCCAGGUGGCCGUGUCCUCCAGCCAACGUCAGGGAACUGUAACAAAGAGGAUAAGCAAUUAAUAGGAGAUUUAUAGCCCGAUCAGAAUUAGGGUCCAAAGGAGCCGUCACCGGCGACGGGAGAGCAGCGGCGCCUCGCGGCGCAAGGAGCUGACGUGCUCUGUCGAGAUCGGACGAACAGGUAAGAGCGAAUUUAGAAGCCCUGUGCGAGCGAGGCAAUGGGAAACGUGCCUAGAAAACCGUCUUGAUAGUGCACACGGGGUACAGACAAGAGCAGCCGGACGAGGGAAACGUACCAGGACGACGCUGGCAAAGGGAGUUCUCCGAGCUGCCUGGAAAAGGGGGGUGUCGAUACCGGCCGGCACGAACGGCUCCCUUCUCGGGUCGGCCGGAAGCGUUGCCGUGCCGGGGGGCGGCUGCCGGCCUGCGGGCCGGGGCUGCGGCUGUUUGGGGCGCUGCCCCCGCUUUGUUUUCCUCGGGGAGCCCCCCCACGUUCGGGGGCUUGUGGGACGUGCACGUGCGAAUGACACGGUGUUCCCAGCUGCUCUGUUCUCUGCCUUGUUUUUUCAGGUGCCUGUCCCUGUUUUCUCUUCCCGCUUUUGAAGAGAAGCUGCCGAGUCAGCGUACGCUGCGGUGAAGUUCUACAAGAUGCAGCCCUCAGGAACCGGUUGACGUGAGGGAAAUGCUUUCUGACCGCCUGCGCGGUGAGGGGACGUUUUUCACCUUUUAGCUCCUUCUGCACGACAAGAGGGAGACGGAAGGUUAAGUAACACGUUGUUUAGGAGCUGAGAGCUUGGUUUGCAUUUAACUAAUAAUUAAGAGACGUGUUGUCAGCGAGAAACUAAACGAUUACAACUAACCUCAUCAAAUGAAGUAAAGACAGGCCAGCCAGGCGUGGUGGUGGAGUUGCUCUCUAUGUGAGAGAGCAGCUACAGUGUACUAAAUUCUGCCCAGGAGCGGAUGAGGAGCGAGUUGAGAGUGUAUGGGUCAGGAUCAAGGGGCAGGCUGGCAGGGGUGACACUGCUGUGGGCGUCUGUUGCAGGCCACCAGAUCAGGCUGAGGAAGCUGAUGAGGCCUUCUAUGGGCAGCUGAGAGCGGCCUCACGGUCACAGGCCCUGGUUGUUGUGGGGGAUUUUAAGUUCCCUGGUGUUUGCUGGAAGGACCGUUCAGCCAGCCAGCCACAGUCCAGGAGGUUCCUGCCGUGCAUCGGUGAGAACCGCCUCAUGCAGGUGGUGGAGGAGCCGACUGGGAGAGGUGCACUGCUGGAUCUCAUCCUCGCUAGCAAGGAGGGUCUGGUCGAAGCAGGAAAGGUUGAGGGCUGCCUGGGCUGCAGUGACCACGAGAAGGUGGAGUUCAGCAUCUUGGGUGGCAGGAACAGAACAGCAAGUAGAAUUGCAGCCCUGGACUUUAGCAGGGCUAACUUUGGCCUUUUCAAGCAAUUGCUGGGGGAAAUCCCACGGGCAAGACUGCUUGAAGGAAAAGGGGCCCGAGAUAGCUGGGUUGCAUUCAGAGAUUGCUUCUUCCACGCUCAGGAUCAGAGCAUCCCCACACGAAGGGAGUCAAGGAAGGGAGCCAGGAGGCCUGCGUGGUUGAACAGGGACCUGUUGGGUAUGCUCAAGCAGAAGAGGAGAGUUUGCAGGUCAUGGAGGCAGGGGCUGGCCACUUGGGAGGAAUAUAGGGCUGCUGUUAGAGGAUGCAGGAAGGCAGCUAGGAUAGCCAAGGCCCCCUAGAAUUACAGCUGGCGAGAGGGGUCAAGGACAGCAAAAAGAGCUUUUUCAAAUACAUAGCAGAUAAAACUAACACCAGAGGCAAUGUAGGCCCACUGAUGAACGGGGUGGGUGCCCUGGUGGCAGAAGAUACAGAGGAGGCAGAAUUCCUGAAUGCCUUCUUUGUCUCUGUCUACUCUGCCGGAGGCCGUCCUGGGGAGCCCUGUACCCCUGAGACCCCGGAUGAAGCCAGGUCAGUGGAGGAGUUUGCUUUAGUCGAUGAGGACUGGGUUAGGGAGCAAUUAAAUAGUCUGGACAUCCAUAAAUCCACGGGUCCGGAUGGGAUGCACCCGCGGGUGCUGAGGGAGCCGGCUGAAGUCACUGCUGGACCGCUCUCUGUCAUCUUUGCCAAGUCUUGGGAAACGGGGGAGGUGCCCGAGGACUGGAGGAAAGCAAAUGUCACUGCAGUCUUCAAAAAGGGCAAGAAGGAGGACCCGGGUAAUUACAGACCGGUCAGCCUCAGCUCUGUCCCUGGGAAAGUAAUGGAACAGCUUCGUCUGGACAACAGAGCAGUGAGGUGGGUUGCAAACUGGCUUAAGGAGAGAAGCCAGAGAGCGGUAGUCAAUGGUGCGGAGUCCAGCUGGAGGCCAGUAUCCAGUGCAGUGCCUCAGGGGUCAGCGCUGGGGCCAAUAUUAUUCAAUAUAUUCAUUAACGAUUUGGACGAGGGAAUAGAGUGCACUAUCGGCAAGUUUGCUGAUGACACCAAGCUGGGAGGGGUGGCUGACACGCCAGAAGGCUGUGCUGCCAUCCAGCGGGACCUGGACAGGCUGGAGAGUUGGGCGGGGAAUAACCUGAUGAAAUUUGACAAGGGCAAGUGUAGAGUCCUGCACCUGGGCAGGAACAACCCCAGGUUCCAGUAUAGGUUGGGAAAUUACAUAUUAGAGAGCAGUGUAGGGGAAAGGGACCUGGGGGUCCUGGUGGACAACAGGAUGACCAUGAGCCAGCCCUGUGCCCUUGUGGCCAGGAAGGCCAAUGGCAUCCUGGGGUGUAUUAGAAGGGGGGUGGUUAGUAGGUGGAGAGAGGUCCUCCUUCCCCUCUGCUCCGCCCUGGUGAGACCGCAUCUGGAAUAUUGUGUCCAGUUGUGGGCCCCUCAGUUCCAGAAGGACAGGGAACUGCUGGAGAGGGUCCAGCGUAGGGCAACCAAGAUGAUUAAGGGAGUGGAGCAUCUCCCGUGUGAGGAAAGGCUGAGGGAGCUGGGGCUCUUUAGUUUGGAGAAGAGGAGACUAAGGGGGGACCUUAUCAAUGUUUAUAAAUACAUAAAGGGUGAGUGCCAUGAGGAUGGAGCCAGGCUCUUCUCGGUGGCAAACAACGAUAGGACAAGGGGUAAUGGGAUCAAGCUGGAACACAAGAGGUUCCGCUUAAAUUUGAGAAGAAACUUCUUCUCAGUGAGGGUGGCAGAGCCUGGCCCAGGCUGCCCAGGGAGGUUGCGGAGCCUCCUUCUCUGCAGACAUUCAAAACCCGCCUGGACGUGCUCCUGUGCGACCUCACCUGGGCGUUCCUGCUCCAUGGGGGGAUUGGACUGGAUGAUCUUUUGAGGUCCCUUCCCGUCCCAAACAUACUGUGAUACUGUGAAGAAUGCGGCUUAGCAGCGCUGCUGACUCUGCCGUCCCGUUCCCUUCCCCGUUUCAGCCGGCGAGGCGGCCGGAGGACCCGCUCUGUGCGGCCGCGGGGCCCGCGGAGUCGAGGGCUCUGUCGGCGCGCCCCGGGGGUUUCUCUGGAGAGACUCCUCGUCUCGGUCGCGUCGCGGCGGGGACGGACGAGGACCUCUGGCGAGGGGUCUUUCUGCGCUGGGAGCCGGGACCGGGCACGCGCUCGCGGGGCGUCCGUAAGUCGCGGUACGGAAUUUAGGCAGGAUAGCGCGCACGGGCUUGCGAGCGCCUUACAGGCGUGCGGUGGUUGCUCGUGCGGCCAGCUUUUGGUGUCGGUUGUUCCGGCGCUCCGUCGCGGUGUAGAGCCGGCCCCGUACGUAGCGGUGAGGCGUACCGCAGUUCGGUUUGAUUCUCGGAUAGGCCUCGGCUCUGACUGUGCACUCGAACGCCAAAACCUACAGCGGAAGCUGCGGUGGCUUUAGCGUGCAAGGGGCGCGAGCGCCGUGAAGCCGCCCGUGUGGCCGAGCGUCCCGAUCGCGGCGCUGAGCGUUAGACGGACUUGAGCCGCGUGCCGGAAUUGUUUUGUUUUGGAGAGGGCGGGAUAAACCUGGAGCACAACUUGUGAGGGCGGUACGUCGUGGGCAGGUUUUAGUAUUGCCUGUGGAGUGCCGCUAGAAGCGUUCGUAGUUCUUGCUUGUCUCUGUUACAAGGUGAGCCGUGUCGUCCUGCGUGACGCGUAACGGGAGGACGGCGCGGUAGCGGUGCUCUGCACAAGAGCCCGUUGGGGGGUAUUUUAGCUGGCGGGAAAGAGAUUGGGGAACCACCUGGUGGUAAUGCGAGGAGAGCAGCCCUGGCGGAAUCUGAGGAGCCGAGGCCGUUGUAUAAAUUGGACAAGGAAGGAAAGGCUGCGGGCACAGCGCGGUGCUGCACCCGGCCGCCCCAACGCGGAACUCUAAUGUGGAAUUCCUGUGUUUCAGAGGGGGAGCUGUGACCGCCCCGUGCUCAGCAGACCCCCCAGCCCGGGUGGGGGGAGCAGCGCCGGAGCGGGAGACGCGGCUCCGUCCUCCGUCCCCAGCGUGCCGGGGGGCGGCUGCCGGCCUGUGGGACGUGGCUGCGGCUGUUCGGGGCGCUGCCCCCCCAUUUUUGGGCGCUCUGGUAUGUACAUAGGUAAAUGGCGUUUUAAAGUAAUGUGCUGCCCGCUGGGGCUGUUUUCCUUUUCUACCUUUUUUUUUUUGAGUGAAUAAAUGGGGGGACUCGGGGGGUGACGAUGACGUUGCUGGAGGAGCAGGCCAGUGAGAGAUGGGGGCUUUCAGCCCCAAAACGCCUGAACAGUCAUGGGUGGGGUGUUUAGUGGUGCUGUGGGGAGGAGAAAUUUCUCCCUGUCCGUUGCAGAGAAAACAGAACAAUCCCACAUCAAAGCUGUCCUAGAGAAGUACUUGCUGUUUGUCAUUCCGGUUCUAGAGCAGCCCGAUGUGCUGUUAAAGGUUGUGGUGGUGCGGGUCAGGGAUCCCCAGGCUGUGCCGAGACCGCAGGACGGCUGCUGGUGGAACAAAGUCCGGGACAGCUUCUCAGAGUAAGAACCUCUCUAUUUGUUCUCCUCGGGACACAUCCCUUUGCCUCUGGACCCCUCACAAGCUCACUCGCCACCUUGUUCCCUCAGAAACCCGUUUCCUCCCAGUUCCUCUGCGAUUACCCUGCCUGCCUUUGGGUCCCUGCAGGCUCGUUGGUGGCAUCACGGUGCCUGUUUGACCUUUUGCCCCGUUAAAUUCCCCUCUUUUCUCUCUUCCCCUCAAAACUUCCCCGGUUGCUCUUGUCACACCCCAGAGGCCUCAUUUUCCCCUCUUGUCUCCUCUCAGGACCCCCCAUCUGUUGGCCCCUGUCGAGGGUUUAGAUUGCGGGGUGACAGUAAAACCCUGGCAGAUGUAUUGUUAACCCCGUCUCCCCCCCACUUCCCCCUUUUGCCCCUCCCUCUCCCCCCUUCCCACUCAGGACAGGCGAUCCGGAGGGAAAGAAGGACAGAGAGAAGAGAGUUGGAAAAACUGGCAAUGUUUUACUAAUGCUAUAUUAAGAGUAGAGAAAAUAAUACAAAACCAAUCCUGAAAGUCUCAGCAACUGCAGAGCCGGCACCUGAAGUCCUGGACUGGACUCUGCAGCCAACCGGAGCUGGAUUCAGUCUCUCAGCAGGCCUCAGUUUGCAGGGACGACUAGCAAGGUCCUCUCCUAAUGUCACCAUAAGCAGAAGGGACGAAAAGGGGCAAAGAGGACAAGAUCCUCAUGAUCUGCCACUUGUAUAUGAAGUAUUCAUGUGAAGGGGAUGUUAUACACAGUUGGUCAGUUUGUUGGUCACCUGUUUCUUGUUGCUCCUCUUGCAAGAUGUGAAUCUGUCCUUAUCAACAAGUAAGCAUUCCAUUGCAGUGUUUAUCAAAACAUGUAUGUGUCUGGUUCUCCAGGAAAAGGCAGCUAAUAUGAAGCUUCAGCUGACAGGCAAAUUCAUGCUGUCUGCCUAUCAGAUUGCCGGAGGGGCGGGCGUCGAGGGCUGGGUACUGCGUGCCGCCCGCAGCCAAUGAUGGUGCGGAAGAGGCGGGCGUUGCGGUGUCCCUACUGCGCAUGCCCCAGUCGCGAGCGCUGAUAGGCGGAGAGGGAGAUGAUUGACGUGUCCCGGGGAGCGAACCGGGAUGCGGCAAGGGGCGGGUGCUGCAGUCUCCCUAGUGCGCAUGCCCAAACCGCGAGCGCUGAUAGGUCCGCGGUGUCUCGGGGCCGGGGCCGGGGGGGGAGACCGGGAGCGAACGGGAACGGGGGUCGGGGCGGCUGCGGAGCCCUCGCUGCGGCCGGCGCCCGGGCAUCGGGAGGCGGGCGGCUCAGGGCCGCCCUUCGUGAGGUUUCCCGGAGGCGGCAGAAGGGCGGAGGGGAAGGAGGGGACAGCCGGGGACCUCCCGCUGCGCGCGUGUCCGGGGCGCGGCGGCUGUCGGUGCCCGCGGAGCCCGGCGGGACGGCGGGGGAGCGCGAGGGGAACGGAGCGGCGAAAGAGGCGGCAGUGGAUCCGUCCGGCAGUCGGUGGCCCACGGUUGCUCGGCAACAGCAGAAGCGGAUUGAAGGGACCGGCCGCUGGAGGAUGCCGAAGCCUCCCGGGUCAGCGAUGGGAGCAGCUUUGCGUAAAGCGAGGGGUACGUGAAGCCGGGCGUGCGGUGCCGACCGCCCAGCAGGUAAGGGAAGCUAAAGCUUUACCUCCAGGGACUUCUGCCCAGAAAGCUGAAGCAAUUGCUCUCGCGUGAGCUGUAGAGUUACGCAAAGAGAAGAAGAUUAGUAGCUGCACUGAUUCUAAGCAGGUUUCUUGAAGGGUGCGGGCCCUUGAAGCCGUUUGAAAAGAAUAAAGUGUAUUAACGGCACAAGGGAGGCAGAUUAAACGUGAUGCUCCGGUUGCUGGAAGCUGUGCUGUUGCUAGGAGAGUUGCCGUCACGCGUUGCAACGGGCCUCAGAAGGGAAACGCUGCUCAGGAAACUGGCCAUAAAUUGGCAGGCGCCGCUGUCAAACCAGCCACCGAGAGGACCGAGACCGGUACGGAAGCCGCGUCUCUGAGCCCAGGUGGCCGUGUCCUCCAGCCAACGUCAGGGAACUGUAACAAAGAGGAUAAGCAAUUAAUAGGAGAUUUAUAGCCCGAUCAGAAUUAGGGUCCAAAGGAGCCGUCACCGGCGACGGGAGAGCAGCGGCGCCUCGCGGCGCGAGGAGCUGAUGCGCUCUGUCGAGAUCGGACGAACAGGUAAGAGCGAAUUUAGAAGCUCUGUGCGAACGAGGCAGUGGGAAACGUGCCUAGAAAACCGUCUUGAUAGUGCACACGGGGUACAGACAAGAGCAGCCGGACGAGGGAAACGUACCAGGACGACGCUGGCAAAGGGAGUUCUCCGAGCUGCCUGGAAAAGGGGGGUGUCGAUACCGGCCGGCACGAACGGCUCCCUUCUCGGGUCGGCCGGAAGCGUUGCCGUGCCGGGGGGCGGCUGCCGGCCUGCGGGCCGGGGCUGCGGCUGUUUGGGGCGCUGCCCCCGCUUUGUUUUCCUCGGGGAGCCCCCCCACGUUCGGGGGCUUGUGGGACGUGCACGUGCGAAUGACACGGUGUUCCCAGCUGCUCUGUUCUCUGCCUUGUUUUUUCAGGUGCCUGUCCCUGUUUUCUCUUCCCGCUUUUGAAGAGAAGCUGCCGAGUCAGCGUACGCUGCGGUGAAGUUCUACAAGAUGCGGCCCUCAGGAACCGGUUGACGUGAGGGAAAUGCUUUCUGACCGCCUGCGCGGUGAGGGGACGUUUUUCACCUUUUAGCUCCUUCUGCACGACAAGAGGGAGACGGAAGAGGGGGAGCUGUGACCGCCCCGUGCUCAGCAGACCCCCCAGCCCGGGUGUGGGGAGCAGCGCCGGAGCGGGAGACGCGGCUCCGUCCUCCGUCCCCAGCGUGCCGGGGGGCGGCUGCCGGUCUGUGGGACGUGGCUGCGGCUGUUCGGGGCGCUGCCCCCCCAUGUUUGGGCGCUCUGAGCAGCCCGAUGUGCUGUUAAAGGUUGUGGUGGUGCGGGUCAGGGAUCCCCAGGCUGUGCCGAGACCGCAGGACGGCUGCUGGUGGAACAAAGUCAAGGACAGCUUCUCAGAGACUUACUUAUUACUGUUGUGAGAGUCCGAGAGAAAAGGAGGAGUGUCUGUGACUUACAACUGUCGUUGUUGAUCUACAGUGUUUUAGAGACGGAUUCUUGCAGGAUCUAUUUCUGGUUCGUCCUUCACUCCUCCCCAGACCGCAGCGCUGGUCCGAGUUCCCCAGCACACGUGUGUGUGUCCAGCCGGGUACGCUGGGGGAGCGCGUCAGGGCGGGCAGACGGCUGAAUGGACGCGCUGUCAGCGACUGCGGAACGAGCUGGGGCUGCUUUGACCGUGUCCAGCCUUGUGCGUGUGGUUUGUUUUCACUUGCAGGCUGAAACAGCAGUUUCCUUAAUUAAAAACACCCCAACAUGUCCCCCGGCCCCCAACAAAAAUAACGCCAAAAAUGCCACUGAAAGAAACACAGGGAGUUUUUAAAAAAUUUCCUUUAGCUUUCUCCCCCCUCCACCCCUACCCUGCUGCGUUCAGUGCAGUGAAUGACCGUGAGGAGAUGGCUGUGGAUCUGGCUGUUGAAGGGUGUGUGAAGGAGAAGGAGGUGUGUGUAGAGCAGGAUUGGUGGUGGAGGUGAGUGCAGCUGGUUCGGGUGUGGGGCUGUAAAUUCUUUUUGGAGGCUUCCUAGUUUCUGGUGUCACCUGCGGGGUGAAGUGUGACUCUGUGCAGGUUUGAAAGGUGCCACGUGCAGAGCUCCCUCAUUUGCCACCAGAUCUCCCAAUCACAGAGACAGCGUCGCUGUGCAGCUGCUAAGGACAGCGCGUCUCGUGCAGAAGAGCAUCCUUUGUGCUCCGUGUGCGUGUUCCUCCUUUGAAAUGAAGUUGGGCCGCCCGGUGUUCCACGUUACGUGUGGUACCUGCUGGGCUGAGUCUCCUCCCCGCGCUCCGGUCGGUUCCGUCGCGCUGCCGCAGCCCCGGCAGCACCGCGGCGUUCGCUGGACGCGUUGUUGGCGGAGCCGGCACCGACAAUCUUGACACGUCGAGGCGCUGCGGUGGGUUUGCCUGGGAAUUCCAAGGUAAUUCCAAGGCAGACAGUAAUAAUCCCCAAUUUAUGUAGUAAAAUUUAAAAGAGUGGAAUAUUAAUGCUGGAGCACUAAUUGGAAGUAAUACCUGUAGAGAAAAAAACCUCUAGUUUAUAUCUACAAUAAAAAAUAAUGUGUGCUAGUAAAUCCGCCUGGUAGUAAUGUAAUGAUAAAAAUGUUAAAGUGUAAAUAGAUGAAAUUAUAUAGGCAUGAGCAAGAAGUAAAUUUAAUUUCAGCUAUUACUUGGUGAACCAGGCAGCAGUUGUUCCCAAUCUGAAUGCUAGUUUAAAAAACACAUUGUUUGGAAUUCCUUUUAAAUGAUAAAGGCAGAAAACUAAUGUGGAGUCAUUGGUAGCUUCAUUUGAACAACCGUUAUGAAAUAAACCGCAGACACGAAUGACUGCAUAGGAAACAAAGUGAGGAAGCUUUAGAUUUUAAACAGCAUUGGAAAGUGAUCGGGAGUGUUUAGUAUUUAAAUUAUAACAGAGCCACGAGAUGGGAGGCAACAAAGCUCAGAACCAAACAGAGUCAAAACGUUACAUUUCUUUUUUAAAGAGAAGUAUAAAGGAACCACGAAGUAGUGGCUGUUUAUAAACAGAGGUAUUAAAAAGUUCCCAGGCAGUAAUGAUUCCCAACAGAACACUAAAAGAUAUUUAGAUGUAAAAUAAUAUUAGAAAACCGUUAUGACAGUCUGAAUUUAACCACAGCUUUUUUGGGGUUGUGCAAAAACAUGACCGCUAUUAAUUACCUCUGAGUUAAAAUAAAAAGACAUCAAACUAGAUGUGAUUAACAACAGCUAAUUUUAAUUUUUCAGUGUGCUAUCCAGUCCGGCUUCUCCCUCCAAGGGCGUGGUCUGAGAAAGCCACACCCCCAACUCCCCCCCGUCCAAGCUCCGCCCCUGCCAGUCUGUGCCCUCCCCGAGGCGCGUGUCCCUUACAGACCCCUCCCAGCAGCAUAAUGCAUCGAAGCCCCGCCCGCGGCUCCACCCCUAAACUCAGCCCCUGCUAAACCACGCCCCCUCAGAGCACGUGCUGUACUGAGCCCACCCUACUCUCGGCUCCACCCCUCCCUAAGCUACGCCCCCUUUGGGCGUGUCCUUCUCCGUACCCCAAGCGGCUCCUCCUAUGGGGGUGUGACACACGGAGGCCCCACCCCCUGCCCAGUUCCCCCAGGUGGGCCUCCCAAUGGGCGUGUCCUCCCAGUCCACGCCCCUCAGCACGGAUCCCACCCCCGUGGGUGGGGCUACACCCAGCUGCGCGCGCGGCCCCCCCACCCAUGCGUGACCCUAAGUAACCCCAUGGCAGCCCUAUGGCUGCCCCACAGGUACCGCUACAGCAGCCCUGCUCCUGCCCCGCAAGAGCUCCAGACACGCCUCUGCAGAGCCCCCACAGCAGCCACUUCAGUGCCCCACAGCUAUCACCGCAGCCGCCCCAUCCCGCCCCACGGCCGCCGCUGCGGGACCCCUGGAGCCCCCGGCCCCACACCCGCCCCGCAGCCCCACAGCGCGCGGUCUCGCGGCCGCGGUGCCGGUGAAGCCACGUGCUGGCCGCGGCCGGAGGAGCCGCCGGUUUUCCCCCCCCCACACCCCGAUCGCUGCUGCCGCGGCCGGAGGAGCCGCCGGUUUCCCCCCCCACAUCCCCCGAUCGCUGCUGCCGCGGCCGGAGGAGCCGCUGGUUUCCCCCCCUCACACCCCCCGAUCGCUGCUGCUGCCGCGGCCGGAGGAGCCACCGGUUUUGCCCCAACAUCCCCCGAUCGCUGCUGCUGCCGCGGCCGGAGGAGCCGCCGGUUUCCCCCCCACAUCCCCCGAUCGCUGCUGCUGCCGCGGCCGGAGGAGCCGCCGGUUUCCCCCCCACACACCCCCCCGAUCGCUGCUGCUGCCGCGGCCGGAGGAGCCGCCGGUUUUCCGCCCAGCCCCGACUCUCCUCCUUCCUCCUCAAUCGCCGCUGCAUGCCGCCACGAUGUCUUCUCUUCCGCCAUCUUGUUUCCCCCUUCUGCGCUCAUUCGCUAUUUUAUACCGAGGGAGGGAGGAGGCGCUCGCUGAUUGGCUGACAGUGUCAGCCUCGGAAGUCGUCCAUUGGCUCAUCCCCACGAGGGGUUCUCCGAGGGGGUGGGAGAAAGGCGCUGAUUGGUCACCGUGUCGCUGAGGGGAGGAAGGCACUGAUUGGUCACUUUCCGCCGAAGUUCGCCCUCCCAGUAACAGGCGCUGAUUCGCUAGCGCCCCUGAGGUAGAAAAGGCGCUGAUUGGUCGGCGUUUUCUCGCCGACGUUAGCCCACAGCAACGAAGCGCUGAUUGGGCAGCGCGGCUGACGAGGCGGCUCGGCCAUUGGCAGGAGGGCGGGCGGGGGGCGGGACCGGGCGGGACAACGAGGUAAUAAAUGGGGCGGCGCAGAACGCGCGCAGGACCAGAAAGGCGGAGGCGGCAGCGCCAGCGCGAGCUCAUCGGCCCCCCCCCCCCCCCCCCGCCCCCCCGCGGCGGGAAACCCGAGAACGGCAGGAACGGCGGCCGGAAUCAGUUAACGGGGCGGGUCAGGGCGGUAAUUAUCGUGCGGGUGUUAAUUGGGGCUCGGCGGGUUAAUGAGUGACCGGCGGGCUGGGGUGUAUGUGGGGGUUUUGAUCGGAACUGGGGUUUUAAAGCCGCGGGUUUGUGGGGGGGGGGGGGGGGGGGGGGGGGCGGGGGCGAUUAAGGCUCCCGGAGCCGCUUUAGCGGCUUAAAUCGUUGUGUUGAACGCGGGAGGAGCCGGUUCGGGGCUUUUCUCAGCAAUCGGGGCUGGUUUGGGUCCAAUUCGGCUUUUAAAAGAUGUUUUUACGUAAUUUUUGGGUGCCGAUUUGUGCCAGAAGGCGCCUUUGAAAUCUGUUUAUUGAGGGUUUAUCAGGAGAAUUAAAGCUUAAAGCUCGGGGAGAUUUGGGGCUUUUCCCCGGAUUUUGAGUCCAAAUCGGUUUUUUUAGAGCCCUUAUUUAUUUAAAUUGUUAUGUUUAAAGGGUUUAUUUGAGGUUUUAUUUGGAACAUUUUGGGCGGGUUUGAGGCUCCUAAGAUUUAAUUGUUGGUUUAUUAUUUGAUUUAUUAUUUCACUGCGGUUCGGGGCUCCUGAAGACGCUGAGUUGUUUCAAUUAUUUAGCGCUGUGAGGAGCCGUUUUGGGGCCGUUGGGGUCUAAAUCGGCUUUUUAAAAGGUUUAUUUAACGCGUUUAAAGUUUGAGGGGCCGAUUUGCGACUUUAAAGCUUUUUGAAUCUACUUAUUGAUAAGAAUUUAUACAAUAGAUUAAUAUUCAAAGCCCGGGGGGAGAUUUGGGGCUGUUUCCCAGGAUUGCGAGUCCAAAUGCGUUUUUUUCUGUUAACCGCUUAUUAAUUUAAAUUAUUAUAUUUAAACGGGGCUUUUUGAGGUUUUAUGAGGGUUUUUUUGAGCAUUUUGGGCGGUUCUGAGGCUCCUAAAGCCGCUUAAUUGUUUAAAUUAUUAAUUGUUAAAAUAAUGUAAGUAGUUGUUGAAAUAAGUGUGUAAGUUAUUGUAUUUAAAGCCGGGAGGGGCAUUUCGUUGCUUUUUGGGGGGUUUUAGGGCUGAAUUCACUUCAUUGAACGUGUCUAGAGCUGGGGGUCCCAGAUCUGGUGCUGAUUUGGCCCCAAAAAAAGCUUUAAAAAUCUAUUUAUUUAUAUAAUUUACUGAAUUAAUAUUUAAGCGGGAACAUGUUCGGCUUUUUUAACCCGCCGCCAUUUUGUCUCCCCCGUCCCGCUCUCCCUCACGCUGAGGGGGCCGAGGAGACGCUCGCUGAUUGGCCGGUGCCGUCUGGCGGGAAAGCCUCCCCCGGCUCAGCCCCGCUCGGCUGUCUCCGAGGGAGAGAAAGGCGCUGAUUGGUCGCUGCCUCUGAGGAGAGAAAGGCGCUGAUUGGUCGCCGCCUCCCUAAACCCACCUCCUGCGCAGAGAACAGCGAAGGCAGCCUGGCCACGCCCCCUCCGGCUGACCGCGCCCCCCCCUCCGGCUGACCGCGCGUGCCCCCCCCGCAACUCGGCUGACCGCGUGCCCCCCCCAACUCCGGCUGACUGUGCCCCCCCGCCCCCCCCGGCUGACCGCGUGCCCCCCCCACUGCACUCCUGCUGACUGUGCGCCCCCCCCACCUCCUCCGGCUGGCCACAUCUCCACUGCACACCAUGGCGGGGAUGGGGCGGGGGGGGAUCACAAGGGUCUAUGGGGCGGUGUGGGGGUCAGGGCGGCUGUGGGGUCAAUGGGGUUGUUGUGGGGUGAAACACCCCUGAAGAGGCUGAACCCCCUACAGGUGAGUGACCCACACAGUGCCCCACAGUGCCCCAUAGCACCUCCAUUCUGCCCUACGGAUCCACAACACUGCCCCACAGCACCCUAUAGCUCCUGCUUGCUAUCCCACAGCACCCCAUGGCUUCUCCACUCUGCCCCAUAUGUCUACAGCAGUGCCACAGAGUACCUCAUAUGUCUUCCACUCUGCCCCAUGGGUGCAGAGUGCUGCCCUACAGCACCCUAUAGCUCCUGUACUCUGCCCCACAGAUCCACAGUGCUGUCCCACAGCACCCUAUAGCUCAUUUGGCCUAUAGACCCACUGUACUGCCCUACAAUGCCCCAUGGCUCCUACACUCUGCCCCAUAGACCCACAACACUGCCUCACAACACCCCAUUGCUCCUGCACUCUGCCCCAUGGAUGCCCAGUACUGCCCCACAGCACCAUAUAGGUCCUGUACUCUGCCCCAUAUAUCCACAGGAGUGCCCUGCAGCACCCCAUGGCUCCUGCACUCUGCCCCAUGGAUGCCCAGUACUGCCCAACAGCACCAUAUAGGUCCUGUACUCUGCCCCAUACAUCCACAGGAGUGCCCCCCAGCACCCUAUGGCUCCUGCAUUCUGACCCAUGGAUGCCCAGUACUGCCCCACAGCACCAUAUAGGUCCUGUACUCUGCCCCAUACAUCCACAGGAGUGCCCCCCAGCACCCCAUGGCUCCUGCACUCUGCCCCAUGGAUGCCCAGUACUGCCCCACAGCACCGUAUAGCUCCUCUACUCUGCCCCAUACAUCCACAGGAGUGCCCCCCAGCACCCCAUAGUGACUCUACUCUUCCCCAUAGACCCACAGUGCUGCCGCACAGGACUCUACUCUGCCCCUUAGACCCAGAGAGCUGCCCCACAGCAGCCUGUAGGUGCUGUGUUCUGCCCCAUUGGUGCAAAGUGCUGCCCCACAGUGCCCCACACCUCUGUCCACCUGACCACCCUUCCCUCCUGACUGCGCCUGCACUGCCCACUAUGGGUGGGUCACAAGGGUCUAUGGGGCGGUGUGGGGGUCAGGGGGGCUGUGGGGUCAAUGGGGUUGUUGUGGGGUGAAACACCCCUGAAGAGGCUGAACCCCCUACAGGUGAGUGACCCACACAGUGCCCCACAGUGCCCCAUAGCACCUCCAUUCUGCCCUACGGAUCCACAACACUGCCCCACAGCACCCUAUAGCUCCUGCUUGCUAUCCCACAGCACCCCAUGGCUUCUCCACUCUGCCCCAUAUGUCUACAGCAGUGCCACAGAGUACCUCAUAUGUCUUCCACUCUGCCCCAUGGGUGCAGAGUGCUGCCCUACAGCACCCUAUAGCUCCUGUACUCUGCCCCACAGAUCCACAGUGCUGUCCCAUAGCACCCUAUAGCUCAUCUGGCCUAUAGACCCACUGUACUGUCCUACAAUGCCCCAUGGCUCCUACACUCUGCCCCAUAGACCCACAACACUGCCUCACAACACCCCAUUGCUCCUGCACUCUGCCCCAUGGAUGCCCAGUACUGCCCCACAGCACCAUAUAGGUCCUGUACUCUGCCCCAUAUAUCCACAGGAGUGCCCUGCAGCACCCCAUGGCUCCUGCACUCUGCCCCAUGGAUGCCCAGUACUGCCCAACAGCACCAUAUAGGUCCUGUACUCUGCCCCAUACAUCCACAGGAGUGCCCCCCAGCACCCUAUGGCUCCUGCAUUCUGACCCAUGGAUGCCCAGUACUGCCCCACAGCACCAUAUAGGUCCUGUACUCUGCCCCAUACAUCCACAGGAGUGCCCCCCAGCACCCCAUGGCUCCUGCACUCUGCCCCAUGGAUGCCCAGUACUGCCCCACAGCACCGUAUAGCUCCUCUACUCUGCCCCAUACAUCCACAGGAGUGCCCCCCAGCACCCCAUAGUGACUCUACUCUUCCCCAUAGACCCACAGUGCUGCCGCACAGGACUCUACUCUGCCCCUUAGACCCAGAGAGCUGCCCCACAGCAGCCUGUAGGUGCUGUGUUCUGCCCCAUUGGUGCAAAGUGCUGCCCCACAGCGCCCCACACCUCUGUCCACCUGACCACCCUUCCCUCCUGACUGCGCCUGCACUGCCCACUAUGGGUGGGUCACAAGGGUCUAUGGGGUGGUGUGGGGGUCAGGGCGGCUGUGGGGUCAAUGGGGUUGUUGUGGUGUGAAACACCCCUGAAGAGGCUGAACCCCCUACAGGUGAGUGACCCACACAGAGACCCACAGCAGCCCAUAGCCCCUCUGCCCUAUAGAGUCACUGCACCCCAUAGCUGCUUUUACUCUGCCCCAUAAAUGGACAGCAGUGCUCCACAGCACCCUAAGUCUCCACUGUGCCCCAUAGACACACAGUGCUGUCCCACAGCACCCCAUAUCUUGUUCACUCUGCCCUAUAGACCCACAGUGUAACCCUACAGCACCCCAUAGUUCCUCUGCCCUAUAGAUCAACAGCACUGUCCCACAAAACACCAUAGCUUCUUCCCACUAGCCCAUAGGCCAGCAAUUCUGCCCUACAGCGCACUAGCUCCUGCACCCUAUCCCAUAGACCCACAGCAGUGCCCCACAGAUCCAGUCUGCCCUAUACAGCCACAGCACUGCUCUGCAGCACCAUAUACUUCCAGCACUCUGGCCCAUUGAUAUGUAGCACCCCACAGCUGCUGCAUUCCACCCAUAGAUCGAGAUUCCUGGGUCCCCUCACCCCACCAGCUGUCCUGGGUUGCGAUGCUGCACGGGGCCCUGUGCACAACAAAAUGAGGACAGCAUGGCUGCUGGGCGCCACCCUGCUUGGAAUCCAAGAUGGCUGGGGGGGAGGGCUGGCAGCCAUGCUGGCACUGCCGGAGGGGCUGUUGGUCUGCGCCGUGCUCAGGCGGCAGCUCCCGGCUGUAUCGGCUGCUCCUGUGGCCCUGCACCCUGCCCAUGGGAACAAGGUGGCUGCCCUGAUGGGCGUGGCCAUCUCGGCUGCUGUGUCCCUGCUGGUGGGUGGGGCCAUGACUGUCAUGGCUGCCAAGCCUGUGCUGGAAGGGUGGGGCUGAGGUGGGCGGUGCCUGCCUAGGGUGGCCAUUUUGGGGUGGGGCCCAAGGUGGGUGGUGGGGCCUGUGACUCUGUUUGCCCCUGACGGCCAUCUUGGAAAAGGGCAGCACUGUGCCGCUGCCAUCCUGACGUUGCUCCCCCAGGGCCAUGUUGGGGGAUUUUUAACCUGGUUUUGGGGCCAAUUCUCACCCAAUAAAAUUAAAUAAUGUAAAAAAA